This is a long non-coding RNA of Marmota monax (woodchuck), 758 nucleotides long. RefSeq lists it as uncharacterized. NCBI's taxonomy places the organism in Eukaryota, Metazoa, Chordata, Mammalia, Rodentia, Sciuridae. The transcript has 3 exons. The record is from RefSeq and is a predicted model, not a curated record.
GCCAUCUAUCUCUGGGAGUUUGUUAGCAUUUUAUUCCUCAGUGACCAUCAGCUUUCUUUGAAGAAUAGUAUUUGAUGUACAUCUUGCAACCAAUUACAAGAUAAAGGCAUGUAAUUCAUGAAUGACCCACCCUGACUGAGGCAGCCCCAAAGCUGACUGCAGACACAUGUACUGAUCCAAAAUGAGAAGAACUCAAGAAGGAACUACAUCCAUCCCAAGGAGAGACAACCCAGAAUGAAGCUACUGAUGGAAGCUUAGUGUUACUGAGGCAUCAGGAAAUUCCUUUUGGAAACAUGAAAAAAAAAAAAACCCUCAAUUAGGAAGGAUGGAUUUUGAACUUUGAGAAUUCCUGACUACAGAUCUUGAACUGGGUAGGACAAGAAAAACUGAUCUUUAACUUUCAUGCCUUGGACUUUAACUUGCAAAGGGCAAAAUUUUAUUUGCACUUAUAUUUGGUAUGUUAUGUCUUUGAAUUUUAAUAUGAUAAUGGGGGUGCAUUUUUAUUAAAAUUUGAACAAGUUCUGCAUUGUUGACAUUUUAUUAUUGAAUAUCUGUAUGCAUUUUAUGGGAUAUUUUAAUGUUGCCACUUAAUCUCAUUGCUGAAGCUCUCAUAUAUUCUGUUAAAAAACAUCUCUGGACAUUAUUUAGGGUGGGAUAUUGGGUAGUGAAUGGAUUUUCAGCUUUGGAUGCAGAGGGUCCCUGAAGUUAUUUUAGUUACUUCAUUACUCAAACUCAUUUUAGAGCAUUCCAGUGGGGGA